RNAcentral lists this long non-coding RNA (698 nucleotides) under Bos grunniens (domestic yak). RNAcentral's name for it is "lncRNA (ENSBGRG00000009831.1)". The record is from RNAcentral. Lineage: Eukaryota; Metazoa; Chordata; Mammalia; Artiodactyla; Bovidae.
AUGCUGUCUCUGGAAAGGAAAAGAAAGAAUCCCAAAUCAUCCACAGAUGGUACAACUUUCACUUUUCCUCUCUUAGGACCGAGGCGCGCCUCUUUCUCCCGGCUCACUCAUACCCCACCCCCGAUGGGAAGCGCAAGCUGGAGGAAGCCCCCGCCGCGGCGCUCCUCGCGCGCACCCACCUCACCGCCCGCCGCCUUCAGCGCCCGACCCUCGGGGGCUAGCGGAGUUCCUUUCAGCCCUCGGGAAAAGGAGUCGGGGCGAGGGGAGCAGUCGCCGCAACUGCUCCAAACUUCGUCCCCCGACCUCCCAACUCCGGGAGGUGAAAUUCUCCAGCCCGUCUCCGGAUGGCCGCCAGUGUAUCCAGCCUGGACCUGUAACCCAAACAAGGAGUUCCCAAGGGAGGAACAACGAAAGGAAAAGAAAACUCUGGUGGCAUUCCCGAAUCCAUUCUUCCUGGGGUCAUCUGAGAUUCCGCCCACCCUCCGGUGGCCGCCCGCAGCGCCUCGGAGCUCAGGGGCGAAGUUGGGAAAACUUGGGAGGAGUGCGGCUCGCCUUACUUUUGCUUUCUCGCUCCUUCCUGGCCGCGCCGGGGCCCGCGCUUCCCCACCCGCCGAGUCCCUGCUCCCGCAGUGGAUCCCAGCGGCGACGCGGGCGGCUACGCGGGCGGCGGCGCGGAGGCGGCCCGGGCCGGGGUCGGG